This 252-nucleotide long non-coding RNA is filed under the name Elaeis guineensis (African oil palm). Its description in RNAcentral is "long non-coding RNA (EGUI_LNC059046)". Lineage: Eukaryota; Viridiplantae; Streptophyta; Magnoliopsida; Arecales; Arecaceae. The record is from RNAcentral.
UUGUCUUCAAGAAACGUUCAGUCAAUAAAAUUGGUCUCUUCCUUUUGGGGGACUUUUCUUCUCUUCUUUUUCUUUCUUUCUUUCUUCUUCUUUGUAAUGAGCUGCGUUUUAACACGUUGACCUCCCGAUGGCAGGACCCUGCCGAAGCGCUUCCCUUGCCUCAGGGGAUUCCGCUGAAGUCUACAAUCCAGCGGCUGAAGAAGGAAGUCCUCCAUUUAACAAAAAGGUCGAAGAAGAUGGAAGGCGAGCUUC